AGAAACUUAGGAUAGCCACUACAAACCGAAGGCCUUCAAAGCCUUAAACAAGAGUUGAACCCUCUUAGUUUCUG
Molecule: transfer RNA, 74 nt
Filed under: Chroicocephalus saundersi (Saunders's gull)
Lineage: Eukaryota; Metazoa; Chordata; Aves; Charadriiformes; Laridae
Description: Saundersilarus saundersi (Saunders's gull) tRNA-Trp
Rfam family: tRNA
About the family: Transfer RNA (tRNA) molecules are approximately 80 nucleotides in length. Their secondary structure includes four short double-helical elements and three loops (D, anti-codon, and T loops).
Source: RNAcentral